This 901-nucleotide long non-coding RNA is filed under the name Ananas comosus (pineapple). RNAcentral's name for it is "long non-coding RNA (ACOM_LNC022514)". Lineage: Eukaryota; Viridiplantae; Streptophyta; Magnoliopsida; Poales; Bromeliaceae. The record is from RNAcentral.
ACAACCGUGCAAUUGAGCCCAACUCUAAAUUUACAUAACACACUCUCUCUUUCAGACUUUCACUAUUACACAUAACCCUAAAACAUGAUAACAUUCAAAUUCCUAAAUUCCUAAUUUUUUUCCCUCUCUCUCUCUCUCUCUCUCUCUCUCUCAGACCCUCACCCGGUCAGGCAGUCACCCUAGCUCUCUCUCAGACCCUCAUCUGGUCAUGCAGUCACCCUAGCUCACAUUUUUUGUAAUUAUUUUGUAUUUUUAACUAUCGGACAUGUUGCAUCAAAUUAUAGGUAAUAUUCUUUAAAAAUUAAACUAUUGAUUAUAUAUAUAUAAUGUAUUUUAAUUAUAUAUAGGCUUUAAUUUAAUUUGGGCCAUUAUUGUUGGCCCAUAAAAUAAACCCAACAAGUACAAUCGUGCAAUUGAGCCCAACUCUAAAUUUACAUAACACACUAUCUCUUUCAGACUUUCACUGUUGCACAUAACCCUAAAACAUAAUAACAUUCAAAUUCCCAAAUCUCUAAUUUUUUUCCCCUCUCUCUCUCUCUCUCUCUCUAAAGAGGUGGUGGAGCCUCCUCCUACUCCGCACCCAGUGUUUGCUGUUCGGUCUCUUCUCCGACGCCUCCGCUUCCUGAAACCAUUGAACUAUUCUGUCGACCACAUUGCACCAUUACAAUCACAGUUGUAGUCUUUUACCCUACGUUUCACUAUUAAUCGUCGUGCACGUCGCACUGUUAAUCCCUGUCGCAUUUAAUGCUAGCGGCAGGCACUGUUAAUCCCUGUCACAUUUAAUGCUAGCGGCAGGCACGAAAAGUGACAUGUACGUUAUAUUCGGUUAAGUGAGGCGAAAAGGCACCGGCGGGUUGGUCAGCCGACGAUUCGUUUUGUUUAAAUAUGGGUUCUUCAGAUG